RNAcentral lists this long non-coding RNA (212 nucleotides) under Hordeum vulgare. RNAcentral's name for it is "long non-coding RNA (HVUL_LNC021074)". Lineage: Eukaryota; Viridiplantae; Streptophyta; Magnoliopsida; Poales; Poaceae. The record is from RNAcentral.
CCACCUCUGCCAUCGCUCAGAUCCUCCUCCCGCCCCCCGAGGCCCCCAAUCAAUUGCUCAAUCCUUCCUCUCCACCGCCCCACCUUCGCAGAUCUCGCUAUAAUUCCGACCGGCUGCCUUCUUUUCCUCCCUUUCUUUGAGCGCGAGGAAUCGGUUUGAGCUGCUGAGCCCCCAGUGCUUGCUGCUGCUUCGUGUGCUGAGCUUCUUGCUUN